AGCAGUCGCCACGGGAAUACGUAGGGUGCAAGCGUUAAUCGGAAUUACUGGGCGUAAAGCGUGCGCAGGCGGUUAUAUAAGACAGAUGUGAAAUCCCCGGGCUCAACCUGGGAACUGCAUUUGUGACUGUAUAGCUAGAGUACGGCAGAGGGGGAUGGAAUUCCGCGUGUAGCAGUGAAAUGCGUAGAUAUGCGGAGGAACACCGAUGGCGAAGGCAAUCCCCUGGGCCUGUACUGACGCUCAUGCACGAAAGCGUGGGGAGCAAACAGGAUUAGAUACCCCCGUAGUCCCUGUCUCUUAUAA
RNAcentral lists this ribosomal RNA (303 nucleotides) under uncultured bacterium. RNAcentral's name for it is "partial 16S ribosomal RNA". It matches the Rfam family "Bacterial small subunit ribosomal RNA", at positions 507 to 809 of the family's 1533-position model. The record is from RNAcentral.